This 490-nucleotide ribosomal RNA is filed under the name uncultured bacterium. RNAcentral describes it as "bacterial SSU rRNA". It matches the Rfam family "Bacterial small subunit ribosomal RNA", at positions 28 to 507 of the family's 1533-position model. The record is from RNAcentral.
GAUGAACGCUAGCUACAGGCUUAACACAUGCAAGUCGAGGGGCAGCAUGGUCUUAGCUUGCUAAGGCCGAUGGCGACCGGCGCACGGGUGAGUAACACGUAUCCAACCUGCCGUCUACUCUUGGACAGCCUUCUGAAAGGAAGAUUAAUACAAGAUGGCAUCAUGAGUCCGCAUGUUCACAUGAUUAAAGGUAUUCCGGUAGACGAUGGGGAUGCGUUCCAUUAGAUAGUAGGCGGGGUAACGGCCACCUAGUCUUCGAUGGAUAGGGGUUCUGAGAGGAAGGUCCCCCACAUUGGAACUGAGACACGGUCCAAAACUCCUACGGGAGGCAGCAGUGAGGAAUAUUGGUCAAUGGGCGAGAGCCUGAACCAGCCAAGUAGCGUGAAGGAUGACUGCCCUAUGGGUUGUAAACUUCUUUUAUAUGGGAAUAAAGUUUUCCACGUGUGGAAUUUUGUAUGUACCAUAUGAAUAAGCAUCGGCUAACUCCGUG